UUUGUGUUCCUUUGCUAUUUUAGUCGGAUAAUAUUUUAUGUCAUUUCCGUUUUAUUUAAUAUCGUAAAGUUUCUAAAAUGAAUGUACUUCCUAUAAAGUUGGUGUCAAAUAUCUAAAAUGAAUGCGCCUCCUUCUGUACAUACAUUACAGUAUAUAAAAUGAUCCAUUUUAGAUACGAAGAAAUAAUGGCCGUAAUGUAGAACAAUUAUAUCUUGAAUUAUCAGAAUAUAAAAAAAUAUAUAUUAUAAAAAAUAAUUAAAAUAUUAUUUUUU
This 272-nucleotide long non-coding RNA is filed under the name Ananas comosus (pineapple). RNAcentral's name for it is "long non-coding RNA (ACOM_LNC042377)". The record is from RNAcentral. Lineage: Eukaryota; Viridiplantae; Streptophyta; Magnoliopsida; Poales; Bromeliaceae.